GCGUGCCUAAUACAAGCAAGUCGAGCGAAUCUUUGGGAGCUUGCUCCUAAAGGUUAGCGGCGGACGGAUGAGUAACACGUGGGCAACCUGCCUAUAAGACUGGGAUAACUUCGGGAAGCCGGAGCUAAUACCAGAUCAUUCUUUUCUACUCAUGUAGAAAAGCUAAAAGACGGUUUACGCUGUCACUUAUAGAUGGGCCCGCGGCGCAUUAGCUAGUUGGUGAGGUAACGGCUCACCAAGGCCACGAUGCGUAGCCGACCUGAGAGGGUGAUCGGCCACACUGGGACUGAGACACGGCCCAGACUCCUACGGGAGGCAGCAGUAGGGAAUCUUCCGCAAUGGACGAAAGUCUGACGGAGCAACGCCGCGUGAGUGAUGAAGGUUUUCGGAUCGUAAAACUCUGUUGUUAGGGAAGAACAAGUACGAGAGUAACUGCUCGUACCUUGACGGUACCUAACCAGAAAGCCACGGCUAACUACGUGCCAGCAGCCGCGGUAAUACGUAGGUGGCAAGCGUUGUCCGGAAUUAUUGGGCGUAAAGCGCGCGCAGGCGGUCCUUUAAGUCUGAUGUGAAAGCCCACGGCUCAACCGUGGAGGGUCAUUGGAAACUGGGGG
This 614-nucleotide ribosomal RNA is filed under the name uncultured Bacillus sp. Its description in RNAcentral is "bacterial SSU rRNA". It matches the Rfam family "Bacterial small subunit ribosomal RNA", at positions 42 to 639 of the family's 1533-position model. The record is from RNAcentral. Lineage: Bacteria; Bacillati; Bacillota; Bacilli; Caryophanales; Bacillaceae.